CACACUAUAGCUCGAGACAAAAGCUGCUCUUUGACUGUAGAUUCAAAUCAGGUCGCUUUCCCAGCAACAGUGAGCGUCCCAUUUUUAGGUGGCUGAUUUCCCUGAAGCAGAUGGCAGCAAGUGUCACUAUCAAUGCAUAAGCAAGCAGCGGAACAGCCACAUCAAUUCUCAGACUGCAGUUUGUGAAGAAGUAUCACCAAGCUGGAGCCCCAGCUCCCAGCAGAAUUAGAGGACUUUACCUGCCGUACCGGGAUAAGGAUCACAUUCCACGACACCUGGGAGGGACAGAGAGGUAAUCUUCAAUCAAAAACUGCCAUGGAAGAAAUCUCGGAACAAUAGCAACAUUUCUGCCAAAACAAAGCCCACAACAGAAAAAAAAAACAUUUGUUAAUUUCUUAUGAAUUGCUACCUAUAUAUCACCAUUAGCCACCUGCUAUCUGCAGUAUUAUUUGUACAAGAUGAAUGAAAAGUAAAGGAAAAACACAGAAAGCCUACGCAUGCUGACGCACCUACCCACCUGAACUACAAUA
Molecule: long non-coding RNA, 530 nt
Organism: Lepisosteus oculatus (spotted gar)
Lineage: Eukaryota; Metazoa; Chordata; Actinopteri; Semionotiformes; Lepisosteidae
Source: RefSeq, a predicted model, not a curated record